ACGGAAGGCAGCAGUGGGGGAUAUUGCACAAUGGGGGAAGCCCUGAUGCAGCAACGCCGCGUGAGGGAAGAAGGUUUUCGGAUUGUAAACCUCUGUCCUAAGUGAAGAAACAAAUGACGGUAGCUUAGGAGGAAGCUCCGGCUAACUACGUGCCAGCAGCCGCGGUAAUACGUAGGGAGCGAGCGUUAUCCGGAUUUACUGGGUGUAAAGGGUGCGUAGGCGGCUAAACAAGUCAGGCGUGAAAUGCAAAGGCUUAACCUUUGAGCUGCGCUUGAAACUGUAUAGCUUGAGUGAAGUAGAGGCAAGCGGAAUUCCUGGUGUAGCGGUGAAAUGCGUAGAGAUCAGGAGGAACACCGGUGGUGAAGGCGGCUUGCUGGGCUUUAACUGACGCUGAGGCACGAAAGCAUGGGGAGCAAACAGGAUUAGAUACCCUGGUA
This 437-nucleotide ribosomal RNA is filed under the name uncultured Clostridiales Family IV bacterium. RNAcentral's name for it is "bacterial SSU rRNA". It matches the Rfam family "Bacterial small subunit ribosomal RNA", at positions 341 to 792 of the family's 1533-position model. The record is from RNAcentral. Lineage: Bacteria; Bacillati; Bacillota; Clostridia; Eubacteriales; Eubacteriales Family IV. Incertae Sedis.